This 65-nucleotide transfer RNA is filed under the name Cyema atrum (bobtail snipe eel). Its description in RNAcentral is "tRNA-Tyr". Lineage: Eukaryota; Metazoa; Chordata; Actinopteri; Anguilliformes; Cyematidae. The record is from RNAcentral.
GGUAGUGAUUGAUUAUCUAGUCGUGGGCUGUAGUACCGCAGAGGCCCAACAUUUUAUUAUGAGGU